This 301-nucleotide ribosomal RNA is filed under the name uncultured bacterium. RNAcentral's name for it is "partial 16S ribosomal RNA". It matches the Rfam family "Bacterial small subunit ribosomal RNA", at positions 509 to 809 of the family's 1533-position model. The record is from RNAcentral.
CAGUAGCCGCGGGAAUACAGAGGGUGCGAGCGUUAAUCGGAUUUACUGGGCGUAAAGCGUGCGUAGGCGGCUUCUUAAGUCGGAUGUGAAAUCCCUGAGCUUAACUUAGGAAUUGCAUUCGAUACUGGGAAGCUAGAGUAUGGGAGAGGAUGGUAGAAUUCCAGGUGUAGCGGUGAAAUGCGUAGAGAUCUGGAGGAAUACCGAUGGCGAAGGCAGCCAUCUGGCCUAAUACUGACGCUGAGGUACGAAAGCAUGGGGAGCAAACAGGAUUAGAUACCCCCGUAGUCCUGUCUCUUAUACA